RNAcentral lists this ribosomal RNA (776 nucleotides) under uncultured Neocallimastigales. RNAcentral describes it as "partial large subunit ribosomal RNA". It matches the Rfam family "Eukaryotic large subunit ribosomal RNA", at positions 23 to 645 of the family's 3401-position model. Lineage: Eukaryota; Fungi; Neocallimastigomycota; Neocallimastigomycetes; Neocallimastigales. The record is from RNAcentral.
AGAGAGAGACAUGCGCGCAUAUCAAUAAGCGGAGGAAAAGAAACUAACAAGGAUUCCCUUAGUAACGGCGAGUGAAGCGGGAAGAACUCAAAUUUGAAAUCUUCAAGGUUUUACCUUGACGAAUUGUAGUUUAAAGAAGUGUUUUCUGCUGAAGUUUUGGUAAAAGUUCUUUGGAAUAGGACAUCAUAGAGGGUGAGAGUCCCGUAUUUGACCAUUAUUUUCAGCUUUGUGAUACACUUUCAAAGAGUCGGAUUGUUUGGGAAUGCAGUCCAAAAUGGGUGGUAAAUUUCAUCUAAAGCUAAAUAUUGGCGAGAGACCGAUAGCGAACAAGUACCGUGAGGGAAAGAUGAAAAGAACUUUGAAAAGAGAGUUAAACAGUACGUGAAAUUGUCAAAAGGGAAGCGUUUGACACCAGUGUUGUUUUCUCGAAAAUCAAUUAAAAAUGGCUCCGAUUUUGUAUUGUUGAGACCUUAAAAGCUCACUGUACAUUUUUCGUGUCUUUUUUAAUGCACUUUUCGUUUAACAAGUCAACAUCAGUUUCUUUUAGUUGUAAAAGGGUCAUUGGAAGGUGGCUUUCUUUUCGGAGAAAGUGUUUAUAGCCUUUGGCCUCUGCAAUCGAAGAGACUGAGGUCUGCAGCGUAGACUCUUCGGGGUUAGAUACAUUUGUGCUAAGUUAUAGCUUUUUAUAGACAACUUGUUGACUAUAAUUAGUCUUGUAGCUUACUCGCUUAUGCUAUUUUACCUACGCUUAGGAUGUUGAAGUCAUCGUAUCGCGC